This 375-nucleotide ribosomal RNA is filed under the name uncultured bacterium. RNAcentral describes it as "bacterial SSU rRNA". It matches the Rfam family "Bacterial small subunit ribosomal RNA", at positions 523 to 898 of the family's 1533-position model. The record is from RNAcentral.
AUACGUAGGUGGCAAGCGUUAUCCGGAUUUAUUGGGCGUAAAGCGCGCGCAGGCGGGAAGGUAAGUUGGAUGUUUAAUCUACGGGCUCAACCCGUAUCAGCAUUCAAAACUAUUUUUCUUGAGUAGUGCAGAGGUAGGCGGAAUUCCCGGUGUAGCGGUGGAAUGCGUAGAUAUCGGGAGGAACACCAGUGGCGAAGGCGGCCUACUGGGCACUAACUGACGCUGAGGCUCGAAAGCAUGGGUAGCAAACAGGAUUAGAUACCCUGGUAGUCCAUGCCGUAAACGAUGAUUACUAGGUGUGGGAGGAUUGACCCCUUCCGUGCCGCAGUUAACACAAUAAGUAAUCCACCUGGGGAGUACGACCGCAAGGUUGAA